GACGAACGCUGGCGGCGUGCUUAACACAUGCAAGUCGAACGGAAAGGCCCUGCUUUUGUGGGGUGCUCGAGUGGCGAACGGGUGAGUAACACGUGAGUAACCUGCCCUUGACUUUGGGAUAACUUCAGGAAACUGGGGCUAAUACCGGAUAGGAGCUCCUGCUGCAUGGUGGGGGUUGGAAAGUUUCGGCGGUUGGGGAUGGACUCGCGGCUUAUCAGCUUGUUGGUGGGGUAGUGGCUUACCAAGGCUUUGACGGGUAGCCGGCCUGAGAGGGUGACCGGCCACAUUGGGACUGAGAGACGGCCCAGAAUCCUACGGGAGGCAGCAGUGGGGAAUAUUGCACAAUGGGCGGAAGCCUGAUGCAGCAACGCCGCGUGCGGGAUGACGGCCUUCGGGGUGUAAACCGCUUUCGCCUGUAACGAAGCGUGAGUGACGGUAAUGGGUAAAGAAGCACCGGCUAACUACGUG
Molecule: ribosomal RNA, 468 nt
Filed under: uncultured bacterium
Lineage: Bacteria
Description: partial 16S ribosomal RNA
Rfam family: Bacterial small subunit ribosomal RNA
Source: RNAcentral